GACGAACGCUGGCGGCGUGCUUAAUACAUGCAAGUCGAACGGACAGGCCCUGCUUUUGUGGGGUGCACGAGUGGCGAACGGGUGAGUAAAACGUGAGUAAACUGCACCUGACUUUGGGAUAACAUCAGGAAACUGGGGAUAUUACCGGAUAGGAGCUCCUGCUGCAUGGUGGGGGUUGGAAAGAUUCGGCUGUUGGGGAUGGACUAGAGGCUUAUCCGCUUGUUGGUCGGGUAGUGACUUACCAAGGGUAUGAAGGGUAGCCGGCCUUGGAGGUGGACCGGCCACAUUGGUACUGCGAGACGGCCCAGUCGCCUACGUGACGCAGCGGUGGGGAAUAUUGCACAGUGGGCGGAAGCGUGAGGCAGCAACGCCGCGUUCGUGAUGACGUCUUUCGGGUUGUAAACCGCUUUCGCCUGUGACGAAGCGUUAUUGACGGUAAUGAGUAAAGAAGCACCGGCUAACUACGUG
Molecule: ribosomal RNA, 468 nt
Filed under: uncultured bacterium
Lineage: Bacteria
Description: partial 16S ribosomal RNA
Rfam family: Bacterial small subunit ribosomal RNA
Source: RNAcentral